CACGUAGGGGGCGAGCGUUGUCCGGAUUUAUUGGGCGUAAAGAGCUCGUAGGCGGCUCGGUAAGUCGGGUGUGAAAACUCUAGGCUCAACCUAGAGACGCCACCUGAUACUGCUGUGGCUAGAGUCCGGUAGGGGAGCAUGGAAUUCCUGGUGUAGCGGUGAAAUGCGCAGAUAUCAGGAAGAACACCCGUGGCUAAGGCGGCUCUCUAGCACGGUACUGACGCUGAGACGCGAAAGCGUGGGGAGCGAACAGG
This 254-nucleotide ribosomal RNA is filed under the name uncultured bacterium. RNAcentral's name for it is "partial 16S ribosomal RNA". It matches the Rfam family "Bacterial small subunit ribosomal RNA", at positions 524 to 776 of the family's 1533-position model. The record is from RNAcentral.